RNAcentral lists this ribosomal RNA (839 nucleotides) under uncultured bacterium. RNAcentral's name for it is "bacterial SSU rRNA". It matches the Rfam family "Bacterial small subunit ribosomal RNA", at positions 1 to 844 of the family's 1533-position model. The record is from RNAcentral.
GAAUUCGCCCUUAGAGUUUGAUCCUGGCUCAGGACGAACGCUGGCGGCGUGCCUAACACAUGCAAGUCGAGCGGAGACAGUGAGUAGCUUGCUAUGAGCUGUUUUAGCGGCGGACGGGUGAGUAACGCGUGAGCAACCUUUCCCAGACAGGGGAAUAACACACCGAAAGGUGUACUAAUACCGCAUAAGACCACGGGAUCACAUGGUUCUGGGGUAAAAGAAUUAUCGGUUUGGGGUGGGCUCGCGUCCGAUUAGGUAGUUGGUGAGGUAACGGCCCACCAAGCCGACGAUCGGUAGCCGACCUGAGAGGGUAAUCGGCCACAUUGGGACUGAGACACGGCCCAAACUCCUACGGGAGGCAGCAGUGGGGAAUAUUGGGCAAUGGAGGAAACUCUGACCCAGCAACGCCACGUGGAGGAAGAAGGUUUUCGGAUCGUAAACUCCUGUCCUUGGAGACGAGUAGAAGACGGUAUCCAAGGAGGAAGCCCCGGCUAACUACGUGCCAGCAGCCGCGGUAAUACGUAGGGGGCAAGCGUUGUCCGGAAUAAUUGGGCGUAAAGGGCGCGUAGGCGGCUCGGUAAGUCUGGAGUGAAAGUCCUGCUUUUAAGGUGGGAAUUGCUUUGGAUACUGUCGGGCUUGAGUGCAGGAGAGGUUAGUGGAAUUCCCAGUGUAGCGGUGAAAUGCGUAGAGAUUGGGAGGAACACCAGUGGCGAAGGCGACUAACUGGACUGUAACUGACGCUGAGGCGCGAAAGUGUGGGGAGCAAACAGGAUUAGAUACCCUGGUAGUCCACACUGUAAACGAUGAAUGCUAGGGGGUAGGGGGUAUCAACCCCUUCU